This is a long non-coding RNA of Eupeodes corollae, 1385 nucleotides long. RefSeq lists it as uncharacterized. Lineage: Eukaryota; Metazoa; Arthropoda; Insecta; Diptera; Syrphidae. The record is from RefSeq and is a predicted model, not a curated record. The transcript is spliced from 3 exons.
UGGGACUUGUGGUUUUUUUCAAACAUUCCGAACAUUUAUCAUCUACCACUGAUAGUGUCACGUACUCAGUGUUAUAGAACCGCAUUCCUUUAAUAAUAAUUGAUUUACAACAACCAAGCUCAAUAUAAAUAUUACAAAUUAAACAAAUAUGUACUACAAACAAAAUCAACAACAAAAACCUUGGGUUGUCUAAAAAUGGGAGUUUUGUACACACAAAGUUUUAAAUAAUUUUCAAUAAGUGAAAAUUAAAAUACGGGGCUUGGGGGUGGGCGUACAGGGUCAUUUAAAUACACUAAAUUCACUAAGAGGGUGAGGGGGUUGGAAGAACAAACAUACGAAAUACACUUUCUAUCUGGCAGAGGGCGGAGGGAGAGGGUUCCAGAAGAACAGAAGGUUAACAGGCAAAGGUUCAUAGGUGUUGCUGGGUGAUUUUUGAGAGAGAGGUGUCUUACAAUAAACGGAGGUAUUUCUGAGGGGCGGGCUAAGGCGGGGAUGUGGCAGCACCAAUCAAAACGAUCAAAACUCACAUCAGGUAAUUGUUGUAGGUGAUGUGCAGCUGGUAUCGCUCCUGCCAAAUGCGCCCCUUUUAAUAGAGGAUCCGUCAAACCUGAAAGUCCUGCAUGUAAACCACCAGCCAACGCAAGUGGAAACAUUGGACAGGUCUGAGAGUAGAGAAAUUUGGAAGAGAGACAUUAAUAAUGCUUGAGUUGAGGGGGACGUUCGAUUUGUGUGGUGUUUUCUCUGUUAAUCAAAAGAAUUCUUUUUUUUAUAAUUUGGAAUAACCCAACUAGUUUUUGAGUGAGUCUUAGUACAAAAAGAAAAUUUUAAAGGGCAUGUUUAUUUAUUAUAAUUUUUGUUUUAUUAGAUUUUUUUCUUUUUGAUUUCCUCAAAAGGAAGACGGACUAAGGGCUAUGAACGGAAAAUUGGAUUUUAUUGAGCCAAAUAUUUAUACCUUUAAGACCAUCUCCCCGACGAAUGCAAAGCACCUGUGAAAGAUCAUAAAAUACUUAUAAUUUAAUUCCAAAUAAAAAAAAAAAAACAAACAAACAUGAUUUAAGAUUUAACCUCGAUGAAGGAAACUGGAUUCGAAGUUGAGGAAAGUGUUUUUUUUGUCUUGAUUUUGGGAAUUGAACAUUAUACAAGGUUUUUCUAGUAACAACAAAACAAAAACAGGAGGGUGGUACUGUUAACGAGUGAGUUGAGUAGAGAGUGUAGUGCUUUCUAUAUUUUAGUUCAUAUGAGAAAAAGCACCACAGUUACAAAGAUUUGAAUUUAUGUAGAAUUUUUUGGGAAUAUUCGACUUUAAUUAAUAUUAAACAAUACAUUUGGGUUUCGAGUUAUAGGAAAAGAAACUUCUUUAUACAAAAUACAACCUGUAUUGUUCA